AUUGAACGCUGGCGGCAGGCUUAACACAUGCAAGUCGAGCGGGGUGAUGGUGCUUGCACUAUCACUUAGCGGCGGACGGGUGAGUAAUGCUUAGGAAUCUGCCUAUUAGUGGGGGACAACAGCUCGAAAGGGAUGCUAAUACCGCAUACGUCCUACGGGAGAAAGCAGGGGAUCACUUGUGACCUUGCGCUAAUAGAUGAGCCGAAGUCGGAUUAGCUAGUUGGUGGGGUAAAGGCCUACCAAGGCGACGAUCUGUAGCGGGUCUGAGAGGAUGGUCCGCCACACUGGGACUGAGACCCGGCCCAGACUCCUACGGGAGGCAGCAGUGGGGAAUAUUGGACAAUGGGGGGAACCCUGAUCCAGCCAUGCCGCGUGUGUGAAGAAGGCCUUAUGGUUGUAAAGCACUUUAAGCGAGGAGGAGGCUCUUUUGGUUAAUACCCAAGAUGAGUGGACGUUACUCGCAGAAUAAGCACCGGCUAACUCUGUGCCAGCCGCCGCCGUAA
RNAcentral lists this ribosomal RNA (503 nucleotides) under uncultured bacterium. Its description in RNAcentral is "partial 16S ribosomal RNA". It matches the Rfam family "Bacterial small subunit ribosomal RNA", at positions 30 to 523 of the family's 1533-position model. The record is from RNAcentral.